RNAcentral lists this unclassified non-coding RNA (298 nucleotides) under Hevea brasiliensis (rubber tree). The record is from RNAcentral. Lineage: Eukaryota; Viridiplantae; Streptophyta; Magnoliopsida; Malpighiales; Euphorbiaceae.
GAAGGUUUGGAUACUCUGAAAAACAUGGCCCAUGACAUGAAUGAGGAGUUGGACAGGCAAGCGCCACUGAUGGAUGAAAUAGAUGAAAAGAUGGACAGGGCAACCUCAGACCUGAAAAGUACUAAUGUGAGACUUAAGGAUACUGUCAACCAGCUGAGAUCCAGUCGCAACUUUUGCAUUGACAUCAUCCUCCUCUGUAUAAUUUUGGGCAUCGCUGCUUAUCUAUACAAUGUGUUGAAGUGAAGUAUUCCGGCUGCCACUUCCAAGACCGCUAAUUUACUGGUAUGGACAGACUUCU